RNAcentral lists this ribosomal RNA (253 nucleotides) under uncultured bacterium. RNAcentral's name for it is "partial 16S ribosomal RNA". It matches the Rfam family "Bacterial small subunit ribosomal RNA", at positions 524 to 776 of the family's 1533-position model. The record is from RNAcentral.
UACGUAGGGUGCGAGCGUUAAUCGGAAUUACUGGGCGUAAAGCGUGCGCAGGCGGCGCGUUAAGUCAGGUGUGAAAGCCCCGAGCUUAACUUGGGAAUUGCGCUUGUGACUGGCGUGCUGGAGUGUGGCAGAGGGAGGUGGAAUUCCACGUGUAGCAGUGAAAUGCGUAGAGAUGUGGAGGAACACCGAUGGCGAAGGCAGCCUCCUGGGCCAGCACUGACGCUCAUGCACGAAAGCGUGGGGAGCAAACAGG